AUGUCGGGAAGCUUGGCUGAAGAGGAAAUAAAAACUGAGCAAGAGGUGGUGGAGGGAAUGGAUAUCUCUACUCACUCCAAAGAUCCUGUCUCUACAGAGAAAACAGCCCCAAAACGGAAGUUCCCCAGCCUUCCACAUUCCUCCAAUGGCUACUCACUCCAAGGCUCAUCUGCAAGCCCCAUUAAAAAGAAAAAGACACCCGGCUUACUGAACAGUAGCAAUAAGGAACAGUCAGAGCUAAGACAUGGUCCGUUUUACUGUAUGAAGCAGCCACUCCCCAUAGACCCUGUUGAUAUUAUACCGCAGGCCAGAUGGAAUGACUUCUAUAGCUGGAUUUGUCACCAGGAAGGACAAGUCCUUUGCUGUGACCUCUCUCUCAGGGUUUAUCACACUAAGUGCCUGAGACUGACAUCAGAACCAGAGGGGGUCUGGGUUUGUCCUGAAUAUGAAAAGAUUGCGAUAGCAGAAAGCAUCGAGAUGCAGAGCAAAGCCAUGACCAUGCUGACCACUGGACAGCUGUCCUACCUGCUCAAGUUUGCCACUCAGAAAAUGAAGGAGCCAGAGAUGGAUGCAUUUCAGAAGUCCGUUCCAUUGAAGCAGCAUCCUGACUAUGCAGAAUAUAUUUUUCACCCCAUGGCUCUUUGUAUAUCAGAAACGAAUGCAAAAACGAAGAUGUUCAGCUAUUCAGAAGCCUUCCUGGCUGAUGCCAAGUGGACCCAUAACUGCAUUAUUAAUAAUGGGGGAAACCACAAAUUGAUGCAAGUAGCAAAAGUUGUCUUCAAAAUCUGUGAGCAAGAGAUGAAUGAGAUUGAAGUAUGCCCAGAAUGUUGUCUUGAAGCUUGCCAAAAAAUGAGACAACUGGUUCUGUGAGCCCUGUAGCAAUCCGCACCUUUUGGUCUUGGCGAAACUGAAAGCGUUUUCAUUCGGGCCAGUGAAAGCUCUGAGAGACAAAGAUGGGCAGGUUGAUGCCCGUUUCUUUGCACAACAUGACAGAGCCCGGGUUCCAGUCAAUAAUUGCUACCCCAUGUCUAAAGAAAUCCCUUUUUCUGUGAAAAAGACAAAGUAUCUUCAACAGCGCCCUUCGAAAGAUGGAAGUUUACUUGGAGAACAUACAGAGGAAGUUUGGGGUUUUUAAUUACUCCCUGUUCAGGUCGCCCUACAUGCCCAAUAACCAGGACCAAACGCUGCUUGAUCCCAGCAACCCCAGCGCCGGCACUGUCAAGACAGACAAGCAGGAGAAGGGGAAGCUCAAUUUUGACAUGACAGCGUCCCCUAAGAUCAUUCUGAGCAGGUCUCUUCUGAGCAGGGGUGGGGGUGGGGGGCAUAGGUCUCAAGAUCUCCCUGUCCGACUUGCCUCACUACCUCUACCCGACCAUUAUGAACUCUUCUGUGCACACAGGCUCUGAUGUGGAGCAGUGUCCCGAGAAGAAGGUCCCAUCCAACCACUUCUGUGCAAGAGUCUAUGGACUUCCUUGAUAAGAGCACAGCUUCUCCAGCCUCCACCAAGAUUGUGCAAGCAGGGAAGCCUUUCUCUCCACAAGCACUGAACCUGGAUCGAAGCAAAGCUGAGAUGGACCUGAAGGAGCUGAGCGAGUCUGUCCUACAGCAGUCAGCCCCUGUCCCCCUCAUCUCUCCCAAGCAGCAGGUUCGAAGCCAGUUCCAGCUCAGCCUGGUAAAUACCAUAGAGUUGCAAAGCACAGCUACCCAUAAAUGAGAUCUUAGAGGAUGUUUACACAGCCUUGGAGCACAGUGAUUCCGAGGGUUCCAAAAAGCCAAAGAGCAGUGACAGCGAGUACUCCAGCGAUGAGGAACAGAAGCCCAAGAAUGAGCCAGAGGCCCCCGAGGACAAAGAAGGGAGUUUGGUGGACAAAGAGGCCCCUGCCAUCAAAAGGAAGCCCAAGCCCACAAACCAAGUGGAGGUCAAAGAGGAUGUAAAGAGUAACUUGCCUGUCAGUGAGAAUGUAGACCUUACACCCACCAAGGACGGGGCCAGUCCCGAGCCUGAGAAGGACUUUGGAGAGAAAGCAAAGCCAUUACUUCAUCCCACAAAGGACAAACUAAUGGGAAAGGAUGAAACAGUUUCUCCCACAGUGCACUUGGGCUUGAUUUCAGACUCAGAGAACAAACUUGUCAUAGACUUAGGAGAAGAUCCUUCUGGGCGGGAGAAUAGAAAAACAAAAACAAAACAAAACAAAAAGCCAAAACAAACAAACAGAAAACAAGAAAGAGCCCAAGGUGCUGUCACCUAAGCAAGAUGCUAUAGGUAAACUGCCACCUUACACUUAAGCAGGCAAACAGCCUCCUCCAGAGACACCAGUACUAACUGCUGGGCUACACAAGCACCUGCAACUGGGGUCACCGCCACCAUAGAAAACCCAGUGAAGAAGCAGAGGCUGCUCUUACUGAACGAGGCUGUCCCAGCUGUGCAGCGUGUGGAACGUACCAACUGUUCAGCAGAAGGAGGUCACUCAGAGCCCAUCCACGUCUACCAUCACGCUGGUGACCAGCACACAGCCCUGGUCAGCAGUUCAGGCUUUGCAAGUACCCUGGCAUCCGGGAUCAAUGCCGACCUGCCCAUUGCCACUGCCUCAGCCGAUGUGGCUGCACAUUGCCAAGUACACUAGAAAAAUAAUGGACACCAUAAAGGGGAAAAUGACAGAAAUCUACAAUUACCCCCCCCCCAGAACACCACUGGGAGCACAAAAGCUGAGAUUCGAAGGCUAAGGAUCUGGAUUGAGAAGGGGCAGUGGCAGCACCAGCAGGAGCUCCCCAAGAUGAAGCACAACUUGGAGUUGACCAUGGCUGAGAUGUGGCAGAGCCUGGAACAGGAGCGGGAUCCGCUCAUCGCUAAGGUGAAGAAGCAGCUGGAGCUGGAGAACCAAGAAGCAGUGGUGUAGCAACUGCAAGAAGGAGGCCGUUUCCACCAGCUACUUGCGACUACCCCUGUCAGCAGGCCCACUGGCCUUAGCACAUGAAGUCCUGUACCCAGUCUACUACAGUUGGUUACUCCCCUUCAGCAGGAAGCAGAUGCCAAAGCAAACACAGAAACAGGAAAUAAGUCAUCGCAGGGCAGCUCCUCCAACACACAGUCAGCAACUUCAGAACCGGCCAGUGCCCCCAAAGAGAAAGGAGUCAGCAGAGAACAAGGACUGUAACUCCACCUUUGACCUUUCUGGCUCCUGAGAGAUGCCCUCCUCCAUGAUCUUAGGCUCUAACCAAGACUUUGUUAGCAAGAGGUGUGACAAACAGCCUGUCUAGUCCCUAACCACUACAGACCACCAGCCUCACCCCAACUAUCCAGACCAGAAGUCCUAUUCCCCGGAGGAGCAAGUCAGGUUUGUGGAGCAUCAGCGAGGAGGAGCGAGGGUCAUCUCGCUCUGAACACAGUGCAGAGACCAGCACGAAGAACAUCAUGGCCAAAGAGUCCCUGGAGUCUCUGCCACCUUUCGAAUUCCCAACACUCAGACUCUGCCCGUGGGCUUGGCUGUAG
This 3490-nucleotide long non-coding RNA is filed under the name Mus musculus (house mouse). RNAcentral's name for it is "long non-coding RNA chr7:41335383-41338873". The record is from RNAcentral. Lineage: Eukaryota; Metazoa; Chordata; Mammalia; Rodentia; Muridae.